This 429-nucleotide ribosomal RNA is filed under the name uncultured Bacteroidota bacterium. RNAcentral describes it as "bacterial SSU rRNA". It matches the Rfam family "Bacterial small subunit ribosomal RNA", at positions 545 to 975 of the family's 1533-position model. The record is from RNAcentral. Lineage: Bacteria; Pseudomonadati; Bacteroidota.
CCGGAUUUAUUGGGUUUAAAGGGUGCGUAGGCGGAUUAAUAAGUCAGCGGUGAAACUCACAGGCUCAACCUGUGCCGUGCCGUUGAAACUGUUUAUCUUGAAUGCGGAUGCUGUGGGAGGAAUGUGUAGUGUAGCGGUGAAAUGCAUAGAUAUUACACAGAACACCGAUUGCGAAGGCAUCUCACAAAGCCGUGAUUGACGCUGAGGCACGAAAGUGUGGGGAUCAAACAGGAUUAGAUACCCUGGUAGUCCACUACUGUAAACGAUGAUAACUCGCUGCCGGCGAUAUAUAGUCGGUGGCCCAGCGAAAGCGAUAAGUUAUCCACCUGGGGAGUACGACCGCAAGGUUGAAACUCAAAGGAAUUGACGGGGGCCCGCACAAGCGGAGGAACAUGUGGUUUAAUUCGAUGAUACGCGAGGAACCUUACC